Small nucleolar RNA from Phragmites australis (common reed), 139 nucleotides. RefSeq annotates it as small nucleolar RNA Z247. The record is from RefSeq and is a predicted model, not a curated record. NCBI's taxonomy places the organism in Eukaryota, Viridiplantae, Streptophyta, Magnoliopsida, Poales, Poaceae. The transcript has a single exon.
CCAGUCAAGGAAGAUGAACUGGUGACGUACAUCCUGACAGGGCUCGACAGUGAAUAUGAUCCGCUUGUUACAUCGAUUAUGAUGCAGGCGGACUCGCUUGGGCCUGAUGAUCUUUAUGCUCACAUGCUGAGCUAUGAGG